CCUACGGGAGGCAGCAGUGAGGAAUAUUGGUCAAUGGACGAGAGUCUGAACCAGCCAAGUAGCGUGAAGGAUGACUGCCCUAUGGGUUGUAAACUUCUUUUAUAAAGGAAUAAAACGCGGCACGUGUGCCUUUUUGCAUGUACUUUAUGAAUAAGGAUCGGCUAACUCCGUGCCAGCAGCCGCGGUAAUAUGGAGGAUCCGAGCGUUAUCCGGAUUUAGUGGGUUUAAAGGGAGCGUAGAUGGGUUGUUAAGUCAGGUGUGAAAGUUUGCGGCUCAACCGUAAAAUUGCAAUUGAUACUGGCAGUCUUGAGUACAGUUGAGGUAGGCGGAAUUCGUGGUGUAGCGGUGAAAUGCUUAGAUAUCACGAAGAACCCCGAUUGCGAAGGCAGCUUACUAAACUGUGACUGACAUUGAUGCUCGAAAGUGUGGGUAUCAAACAGGAUUAGAUACCCCAGUAGUC
Molecule: ribosomal RNA, 460 nt
Filed under: uncultured bacterium
Lineage: Bacteria
Description: partial 16S ribosomal RNA
Rfam family: Bacterial small subunit ribosomal RNA
Source: RNAcentral